RNAcentral lists this unclassified non-coding RNA (288 nucleotides) under uncultured fungus. RNAcentral describes it as "partial contains 5.8S rRNA, ITS2 and 28S rRNA". It matches the Rfam family "Eukaryotic large subunit ribosomal RNA", at positions 668 to 961 of the family's 3401-position model. The record is from RNAcentral. Lineage: Eukaryota; Fungi.
AAGGAGUCCAACACAUACGCGAGUGUUUGGGUGGCAAACCCGUGCGCGAAAUGAAAGUGAAUGUAGGUGGGAUCCUUCGGGUGCACCAUCGACCGGUCUGGAUUCUUUUCAAAGAUCUGAGUAAGAGCGUAUUUGUUGGGACCCGAAAGAUGGUGAACUAUGCCUGAAUAGGGUGAAGUCAGAUGAAACUCUGGUGGAAGCUCGUAGCUGUGCUGACGUGCAAAUCGCUCGUCGAAUUUGGGUAUAGGGGCGAAAGACUAAUCGAACCAUCUAGUAGCUGGUUCCCUC